GGUUAAGCGACUAAGCGUACACGGUGGAUGCCCUGGCAGUCAGAGGCGAUGAAGGACGUGCUAAUCUGCGAUAAGCGUCGGUAAGGUGAUAUGAACCGUUAUAACCGGCGAUUUCCGAAUGGGGAAACCCAGUGUGAUUCGUCACACUAUCAUUAACUGAAUCCAUAGGUUAAUGAGGCGAACCGGGGGAACUGAAACAUCUAAGUACCCCGAGGAAAAGAAAUCAACCGAGAUUCCCCCAGUAGCGGCGAGCGAACGGGGAGCAGCCCAGAGCCUGAAUCAGUGUGUGUGUUAGUGGAAGCGUCUGGAAAGGCGCGCGAUACAGGGUGACAGCCCCGUACACAAAAAUGCACAUGCUGUGAGCUCGAUGAGUAGGGCGGGACACGUGGUAUCCUGUCUGAAUAUGGGGGGACCAUCCUCCAAGGCUAAAUACUCCUGACUGACCGAUAGUGAACCAGUACCGUGAGGGAAAGGCGAAAAGAACCCCGGCGAGGGGAGUGAAAAAGAACCUGAAACCGUGUACGUACAAGCAGUGGGAGCACAGAGCAAUCUGUGUGACUGCGUACCUUUUGUAUAAUGGGUCAGCGACUUAUAUUCUGUAGCAAGGUUAACCGAAUAGGGGAGCCGAAGGGAAACCGAGUCUUAACUGGGCGUUAAGUUGCAGGGUAUAGACCCGAAACCCGGUGAUCUAGCCAUGGGCAGGUUGAAGGUUGGGUAACACUAACUGGAGGACCGAACCGACUAAUGUUGAAAAAUUAGCGGAUGACUUGUGGCUGGGGGUGAAAGGCCAAUCAAACCGGGAGAUAGCUGGUUCUCCCCGAAAGCUAUUUAGGUAGCGCCUCGUGAAUUCAUCUCCGGGGGUAGAGCACUGUUUCGGCAAGGGGGUCAUCCCGACUUACCAACCCGAUGCAAACUGCGAAUACCGGAGAAUGUUAUCACGGGAGACACACGGCGGGUGCUAACGUCCGUCGUGAAGAGGGAAACAACCCAGACCGCCAGCUAAGGUCCCAAAGUCAUGGUUAAGUGGGAAACGAUGUGGGAAGGCCCAGACAGCCAGGAUGUUGGCUUAGAAGCAGCCAUCAUUUAAAGAAAGCGUAAUAGCUCACUGGUCGAGUCGGCCUGCGCGGAAGAUGUAACGGGGCUAAACCAUGCACCGAAGCUGCGGCAGCGACGCUUAUGCGUUGUUGGGUAGGGGAGCGUUCUGUAAGCCUGUGAAGGUGUACUGUGAGGUAUGCUGGAGGUAUCAGAAGUGCGAAUGCUGACAUAAGUAACGAUAAAGCGGGUGAAAAGCCCGCUCGCCGGAAGACCAAGGGUUCCUGUCCAACGUUAAUCGGGGCAGGGUGAGUCGACCCCUAAGGCGAGGCCGAAAGGCGUAGUCGAUGGGAAACAGGUUAAUAUUCCUGUACUUGGUGUUACUGCGAAGGGGGGACGGAGAAGGCUAUGUUGGCCGGGCGACGGUUGUCCCGGUUUAAGCGUGUAGGCUGGUUUUCCAGGCAAAUCCGGAAAAUCAAGGCUGAGGCGUGAUGACGAGGCACUACGGUGCUGAAGCAACAAAUGCCCUGCUUCCAGGAAAAGCCUCUAAGCAUCAGGUAACAUCAAAUCGUACCCCAAACCGACACAGGUGGUCAGGUAGAGAAUACCAAGGCGCUUGAGAGAACUCGGGUGAAGGAACUAGGCAAAAUGGUGCCGUAACUUCGGGAGAAGGCACGCUGAUAUGUAGGUGAAGUCCCUCGCGGAUGGAGCUGAAAUCAGUCGAAGAUACCAGCUGGCUGCAACUGUUUAUUAAAAACACAGCACUGUGCAAACACGAAAGUGGACGUAUACGGUGUGACGCCUGCCCGGUGCCGGAAGGUUAAUUGAUGGGGUUAGCGCAAGCGAAGCUCUUGAUCGAAGCCCCGGUAAACGGCGGCCGUAACUAUAACGGUCCUAAGGUAGCGAAAUUCCUUGUCGGGUAAGUUCCGACCUGCACGAAUGGCGUAAUGAUGGCCAGGCUGUCUCCACCCGAGACUCAGUGAAAUUGAACUCGCUGUGAAGAUGCAGUGUACCCGCGGCAAGACGGAAAGACCCCGUGAACCUUUACUAUAGCUUGACACUGAACAUUGAGCCUUGAUGUGUAGGAUAGGUGGGAGGCUUUGAAGUGUGGACGCCAGUCUGCAUGGAGCCGGCCUUGAAAUACCACCCUUUAAUGUUUGAUGUUCUAACGUGGACCCGUAAUCCGGGUUGCGGACAGUGUCUGGUGGGUAGUUUGACUGGGGCGGUCUCCUCCUAAAGAGUAACGGAGGAGCACGAAGGUUGGCUAAUCCUGGUCGGACAUCAGGAGGUUAGUGCAAUGGCAUAAGCCAGCUUGACUGCGAGCGUGACGGCGCGAGCAGGUGCGAAAGCAGGUCAUAGUGAUCCGGUGGUUCUGAAUGGAAGGGCCAUCGCUCAACGGAUAAAAGGUACUCCGGGGAUAACAGGCUGAUACCGCCCAAGAGUUCAUAUCGACGGCGGUGUUUGGCACCUCGAUGUCGGCUCAUCACAUCCUGGGGCUGAAGUAGGUCCCAAGGGUAUGGCUGUUCGCCAUUUAAAGUGGUACGCGAGCUGGGUUUAGAACGUCGUGAGACAGUUCGGUCCCUAUCUGCCGUGGGCGCUGGAGAACUGAGGGGGGCUGCUCCUAGUACGAGAGGACCGGAGUGGACGCAUCACUGGUGUUCGGGUUGUCAUGCCAAUGGCACUGCCCGGUAGCUAAAUGCGGAAGAGAUAAGUGCUGAAAGCAUCUAAGCACGAAACUUGCCCCGAGAUGAGUUCUCCCUGACCCUUUAAGGGUCCUGAAGGAACGUUGAAGACGACGACGUUGAUAGGCCGGGUGUGUAAGCGCAGCGAUGCGUUGAGCUAACCGGUACUAAUGAACCGUGAGGCUUAACCUU
RNAcentral lists this ribosomal RNA (2906 nucleotides) under Escherichia coli. Its description in RNAcentral is "23S ribosomal RNA". It matches the Rfam family "Bacterial large subunit ribosomal RNA". The record is from RNAcentral. Lineage: Bacteria; Pseudomonadati; Pseudomonadota; Gammaproteobacteria; Enterobacterales; Enterobacteriaceae.